Molecule: long non-coding RNA, 623 nt
Filed under: Numida meleagris (helmeted guineafowl)
Lineage: Eukaryota; Metazoa; Chordata; Aves; Galliformes; Numididae
Description: lncRNA (ENSNMEG00000002927.1)
Source: RNAcentral
GAUACCACUUGUGGGGCAGGAAGAGAAACCCAAUGCCACUUAGGGGGCAAAGAGCAGCCCCCAGUGCCACUUAUGGGGCAGAGACGGAUCUCCAUCACCACUUAUGGGGCAGAGAGCAACCCCCAGUGCCACUUAUGGGGCAGCCACGGACCUAUAACCCCACUUAUGGGGCAGAGACUGCCACCUCAUGCCACUUAUGGGGCAGACAGCGACCCCCAAUGCCACUUAUGGGGCAGCCACGGACCUCCUAACCCCACUUAUGGGGCAGAGACUGACCCCUCAUGCCACUUGUGGGGCAGACAGCGCCCCCCAUCGCCACUUAUGGGGCAGGAACAGCCCCCCAAUGCCACUUAUGGGGCAGACAGCGACCCCCAUUGCCACUUAUGGGGCAGAGAGCGACCCCCAUUGCCACUUAUGGGGCAGCCACGGACCUCCUCACCCCACUUCUGGGGCAGAGACUGCCGCCUCAUGCCACUUGUGGGGCAGCGAGCGCCCCCCAUCGCCACUUAUGGGGCAGGAACAGCCCCCCAAUGCCACUUAUGGGGCGCCGGGACCCCCCCCACACACCGCCCCCUCCCCCCAACUUAUGGGGCCGGAGACCCACGGAAGUCCCGCGUCGCUGG